AACGACUCUCGGCAACGGAUAUCUCGGCUCUCGCAUCGAUGAAGAACGUAGCGAAAUGCGAUACUUGGUGUGAAUUGCAGAAUCCCGUGAACCAUCGAGUCUUUGAACGCAAGUUGCGCCCGAAGCUUCCGGCCGAGGGCACGUCUGCCUGGGCGUCACGC
This 161-nucleotide ribosomal RNA is filed under the name Mollugo verticillata. RNAcentral describes it as "5.8S ribosomal RNA". It matches the Rfam family "5.8S ribosomal RNA". From Rfam's summary of the family: 5.8S ribosomal RNA (5.8S rRNA) is a component of the large subunit of the eukaryotic ribosome. It is transcribed by RNA polymerase I as part of the 45S precursor that also contains 18S and 28S rRNA. The record is from RNAcentral. Lineage: Eukaryota; Viridiplantae; Streptophyta; Magnoliopsida; Caryophyllales; Molluginaceae.